AUGUCCUGGACCCCGCUCCUCCUGGGCCUCCUGGCUCACUGCACAGGUUCUGUAUCUUCCAAUGGGGUGAAUCAGCCACCCUCAUUUUCUGUGAACCCAGGAGGGGAGGCCAAGAUGACCUGUAGUGGAAACAACAUUGGAAGCUAUGCUGUUCACUGGUACCAGCAAAAGUCAAGCCAGGCCCCUGUGCUGGUCAUCUACUAUAAUAACAACCGGCCCUCAGGGAUCCCUGACCGCUUCUCUGGAUCCAAGUCAGGGGACAUGGCCACCCUGACCAUUACGGGUGUGCGCACUGAGGAUGAGGCCGACUAUUACUGUACAGUAGAGGGUGGCAGUGGGGGCAGCUAUCAGUGA
Sorex araneus (European shrew) is the source of this 354-nucleotide non-coding RNA. The record is from the annotation of a RefSeq genome assembly. NCBI's taxonomy places the organism in Eukaryota, Metazoa, Chordata, Mammalia, Eulipotyphla, Soricidae.